Molecule: unclassified non-coding RNA, 77 nt
Filed under: Pseudomonas psychrophila
Lineage: Bacteria; Pseudomonadati; Pseudomonadota; Gammaproteobacteria; Pseudomonadales; Pseudomonadaceae
Source: RNAcentral
UGUGGGAGCGAGCCUGCUCGCGAAGGUCGUUACCGAUAGCGCGACUUGAUACUUUCGCGAGCAGGCUCGCUCCCACA